GAUGAACGCUGGCGGCGUGCCUAAUACAUGCAAGUCGAGCGAACGGACGAGAAGCUUGCUUCUCUGAUGUUAGCGGCGGACGGGUGAGUAACACGUGGAUAACCUACCUAUAAGACUGGGAUAACUUCGGGAAACCGGAGCUAAUACCGGAUAAUAUUUUGAACCGCAUGGUUCAAAAGUGAAAGACGGUCUUGCUGUCACUUAUAGAUGGAUCCGCGCUGCAUUAGCUAGUUGGUAAGGUAACGGCUUACCAAGGCAACGAUGCAUAGCCGACCUGAGAGGGUGAUCGGCCACACUGGAACUGAGACACGGUCCAGACUCCUACGGGAGGCAGCAGUAGGGAAUCUUCCGCAAUGGGCGAAAGCCCGACGGAGCAACGCCGCGUGAGUGAUGAAGGUCUUCGGAUCGUAAAACUCUGUUAUUAGGGAAGAACAUAUGUGUAAGUAACUGUGCACAUCUUGACGGUACCUAAUCAGAAAGCCACGGCUAACUACGUGCCAGCAGCCGCGGUAAUACGUAGGUGGCAAGCGUUAUCCGGAAUUAUUGGGCGUAAAGCGCGCGUAGGCGGUUUUUUAAGUCUGAUGUGAAAGCCCACGGCUCAACCGUGGAGGGUCAUUGGAAACUGGAAAACUUGAGUGCAGAAGAGGAAAGUGGAAUUCCAUGUGUAGCGGUGAAAUGCGCAGAGAUAUGGAGGAACACCAGUGGCGAAGGCGACUUUCUGGUCUGUAACUGACGCUGAUGUGCGAAAGCGUGGGGAUCAAACAGGACUAGAUACCCUGGUAGUCCACGCCGUAAACGAUGAGUGCUAAGUGUUAGGGGGUUUCCGCCCCUUAGUGCUGCAGCUAACGCAUUAAGCACUCCGCCUGGGGAGUACGACCGCAAGGUUGAAACUCAAAGGAAUUGACGGGGACCCGCACAAGCGGUGGAGCAUGUGGUUUAAUUCGAAGCAACGCGAAGAACCUUACCAAAUCUUGACAUCCUUUGACAACUCUAGAGAUAGAGCUUUCCCCUUCGGGGGACAAAGUGACAGGUGGUGCAUGGUUGUCGUCAGCUCGUGUCGUGAGAUGUUGGGUUAAGUCCCGCAACGAGCGCAACCCUUAAGCUUAGUUGCCAUCAUUAAGUUGGGCACUCUAAGUUGACUGCCGGUGACAAACCGGAGGAAGGUGGGGAUGACGUCAAAUCAUCAUGCCCCUUAUGAUUUGGGCUACACACGUGCUACAAUGGACAAUACAAAGGGCAGCGAAACCGUGAGGUCAAGCAAAUCCCAUAAAGUUGUUCUCAGUUCGGAUUGUAGUCUGCAACUCGACUACAUGAAGCUGGAAUCGCUAGUAAUCGUAGAUCAGCAUGCUACGGUGAAUACGUUCCCGGGUCU
This 1372-nucleotide ribosomal RNA is filed under the name uncultured bacterium. RNAcentral describes it as "bacterial SSU rRNA". It matches the Rfam family "Bacterial small subunit ribosomal RNA", at positions 28 to 1381 of the family's 1533-position model. The record is from RNAcentral.